GACGAACGCUGGCGGCGUGCUUAACACAUGCAAGUCGAACGGAAAGGCCCUGCUUUCGUGGGGUGCUCGAGUGGCGAACGGGUGAGUAACACGUGAGUCACCUGCCCUUGACUUUGGGAUAACUUCAGGAAACUGGGGCUAAUACCGGAUAGGAGCUCCUGCUGCAUGGUGGGGGUCGGAACGUUUCGGCGGUUGGGGAUGGACUCUCGGCUUAUCAGCUUGUUGGUGGGGUAGUGGCUUACCAAGGCAUUGACGGGUAGCCGGCCUGAGAGGGUGACCGGCCACAUUGGGACUGAGAGACGGCCCAGACUCCUACGGGAGGCAGCGGUGGGGAAUAUUGCACAAUGAGCGGAAGCCUGAGGCAGCAACGCCGCGUGCGGGAUGACGGCCUUCGGGUUGUAAACCGCUUUCGCCUGUGACGAAGCGUGAGUGACGGUAAUGGGUAAAGAAGCACCGGCUAACUACGUG
This 468-nucleotide ribosomal RNA is filed under the name uncultured bacterium. Its description in RNAcentral is "partial 16S ribosomal RNA". It matches the Rfam family "Bacterial small subunit ribosomal RNA", at positions 28 to 507 of the family's 1533-position model. The record is from RNAcentral.